This 857-nucleotide ribosomal RNA is filed under the name uncultured bacterium. Its description in RNAcentral is "bacterial SSU rRNA". It matches the Rfam family "Bacterial small subunit ribosomal RNA", at positions 8 to 855 of the family's 1533-position model. The record is from RNAcentral.
AGAGUUUGAUCCUGGCUCAGGAUGAACGCUAGCUACAGGCUUAACACAUGCAAGUCGAGGGGAAACGAUAUUGGAAGCUUGCUUCCGAUAGGCGUCGACCGGCGCACGGGUGAGUAACGCGUAUCCAACCUGCCCACCACUUGGGGAUAACCUUGCGAAAGUAAGACUAAUACCCAAUGAUAUCUCUAGAAGACAUCUGAAGGAGAUUAAAGAUUUAUCGGUGAUGGAUGGGGAUGCGUCUGAUUAGCUUGUUGGCGGGGUAACGGCCCACCAAGGCUACGAUCAGUAGGGGUUCUGAGAGGAAGGUCCCCCACAUUGGAACUGAGACACGGUCCAAACUCCUACGGGAGGCAGCAGUGAGGAAUAUUGGUCAAUGGGCGAGAGCCUGAACCAGCCAAGUAGCGUGCAGGAUGACGGCCCUAUGGGUUGUAAACUGCUUUUAUAAGGGAAUAAAGUGAGUCUCGUGAGGCUUUUUGCAUGUACCUUAUGAAUAAGGACCGGCUAAUUCCGUGCCAGCAGCCGCGGUAAUACGGAAGGUCCGGGCGUUAUCCGGAUUUAUUGGGUUUAAAGGGAGCGUAGGCCGGAGAUUAAGCGUGUUGUGAAAUGUAGAUGCUCAACAUCUGCACUGCAGCGCGAACUGGUUUCCUUGAGUACGCACAAAGUGGGCGGAAUUCGUGGUGUAGCGGUGAAAUGCUUAGAUAUCACGAAGAACUCCGAUUGCGAAGGCAGCUCACUGGAGCGCAACUGACGCUGAAGCUCGAAAGUGCGGGUAUCGAACAGGAUUAGAUACCCUGGUAGUCCGCACGGUAAACGAUGGAUGCCCGCUGUUGGUCUGAAUAGGUCAGCGGCCAAGCGAA